RNAcentral lists this ribosomal RNA (551 nucleotides) under uncultured Diversispora. Its description in RNAcentral is "SSU rRNA". It matches the Rfam family "Eukaryotic small subunit ribosomal RNA", at positions 548 to 1098 of the family's 1831-position model. The record is from RNAcentral. Lineage: Eukaryota; Fungi; Glomeromycota; Glomeromycetes; Diversisporales; Diversisporaceae.
UUGGAGGGCAAGUCUGGUGCCAGCAGCCGCGGUAAUUCCAGCUCCAAUAGCGUAUAUUAAAGUUGUUGCAGUUAAAAAGCUCGUAGUUGAACUUCGGGGUUUACCCAUUGGUCAGGCUUAAUUGUCUGUACUGGUGAGAUGAAUCUCUACCUUCUGAGGGACUUUCAUGCCAUUUAUUUGGUGUGAUGGGAAAUCAGGACUGUUACUUUGAAAAAAUUAGAGUGUUUAAAGCAGGCUAACGUCUGAAUACAUUAGCAUGGAAUAAUGAAAUAGGACGGACUGAUUCUAUUUCGUUGGUUUCUAGGAUCACCGUAAUGAUUAAUAGGGAUAGUUGGGGGCAUUAGUAUUCAAUUGUCAGAGGUGAAAUUCUUGGAUUUAUUGAAGACUAACUACUGCGAAAGCAUUUGCCAAGGAUGUUUUCAUUAAUCAAGAACGAAAGUUAGGGGAUCGAAGACGAUCAGAUACCGUCGUAGUCUUAACCAUAAACUAUGCCGACUAGGGAUCGGACGAAGUUAAUUUUAUAAUGACGCGUUCGGCGCCUUACGGGAAAC